RNAcentral lists this ribosomal RNA (460 nucleotides) under uncultured bacterium. RNAcentral's name for it is "partial 16S ribosomal RNA". It matches the Rfam family "Bacterial small subunit ribosomal RNA", at positions 338 to 795 of the family's 1533-position model. The record is from RNAcentral.
CCUACUGGAGGCAGCAGUGAGGAAUAUUGGUCACUGGGCGUAAGCCUGAACCAGCCAAGUCGCGUGAGGGAUGAAGGUUCUAUGGAUCGUAAACCUCUUUUAUAAGGGAAUAAAGUGUGGGACGUGUCCUAUUUUGUAUGUACCUUAUGAAUCAGGAUCGGCUAACUCCGUGCCAGCAGCCGCGGUAAUACGGAGGAUCCGAGCGUUAUCCGGAUUUAUUGGGUUUACAGGGUGCGUAGGCGGCCUUUUAAGUCAGCGGUGAAAGUCUGUGGCUCAACCAUAGAAUUGCCGUUGAAACUGGGGGGCUUGAGUAUGUUUGAGGCAGGCGGAAUGCGUGGUGUAGCGGGGAAAGUCUUAGAUAUCACGCAGAACCCCGAGUGCGAAGGCAGCCUGCCAAGCCAUGACUGACGCUGAUGCACGAAAGCGUGGGGAUCAAACAGGAUUAGAUACCCGAGUAGUC